Triticum aestivum (bread wheat) is the source of this 125-nucleotide non-coding RNA. Lineage: Eukaryota; Viridiplantae; Streptophyta; Magnoliopsida; Poales; Poaceae. The record is from Rfam.
UUGAUACUCACUCCGUCCCGAAUUACCUGUCGCAGAAAUGGAUAAAAAUGGAUGUAUCUAGAACUAAAAUACGUCUAGAUACAUCCAUUUCUGGGACAAGUAAUUUCAGACGGAAGGAGUAUUAG